RNAcentral lists this ribosomal RNA (606 nucleotides) under uncultured bacterium. Its description in RNAcentral is "bacterial SSU rRNA". It matches the Rfam family "Bacterial small subunit ribosomal RNA", at positions 53 to 670 of the family's 1533-position model. The record is from RNAcentral.
ACGAAGCAUUUAGAACAGAUUACUUCGGUUUGAAGUUCUUUAUGACUGAGUGGCGGACGGGUGAGUAACGCGUGGGUAACCUGCCUUGUACUGGGGGAUAGCAGCUGGAAACGGCUGGUAAUACCGCAUAAGCGCACAAUGUUGCAUGACAUGGUGUGAAAAACUCCGGUGGUAUAAGAUGGACCCGCGUCUGAUUAGCCAGUUGGUGAGAUAACAGCCCACCAAGGCGACGAUCAGUAGCCGACCUGAGAGGGUGACCGGCCACAUUGGGACUGAGACACGGCCCAGACUCCUACGGGAGGCAGCAGUGGGGAAUAUUGCACAAUGGAGGAAACUCUGAUGCAGCGACGCCGCGUGAGUGAAGAAGUAAUUCGUUAUGUAAAGCUCUAUCAGCAGGGAAGAUAGUGACGGUACCUGACUAAGAAGCUCCGGCUAAAUACGUGCCAGCAGCCGCGGUAAUACGUAUGGAGCAAGCGUUAUCCGGAUUUACUGGGUGUAAAGGGAGUGUAGGUGGCCAUGCAAGUCAGAAGUGAAAAUCCGGGGCUCAACCCCGGAACUGCUUUUGAAACUGUAAGGCUGGAGUGCAGGAGGGGUGAGUGGAAUUCC